UAAGACGCUGGAGAAAAGGACAGAGAGCAGAGCUCACCCGGGUUUUCCACGCAAGAGUUGACGAUGUAUUUUCAUAUAUAUUAUACGUUAUACAAAAUAUACAUUUUGAUCACAAAUAACGACCUAACUAGUUAUUAACGCCUAAAUUUCCAUCCAUUUCUCCCUCUGCCCAAUAGAUCCUACAGAUUUUUUGGAGACUCGUCCGGGAUCGAGUAGAGUAGAGAAUUUCUGAUUCCACGAGUUGUUGAACGGUUGGAUAAUGUAAGAUUUUGCAGAGGAGUCUUGGUGAGGAGUAGCAGUAAGACUUGAGGCGUGAGGUGGACGAAUCUAUUAUAAAAAAAUGAGUGUGAAAGGUCCGUCCAAUUUUACAAUAAGUCAACUAAAGGGAAAGCUAAAGGAGUUGGUCUUUCGCAAGCGGGGAGCAAGGCAGAGUUGAUCGGUCGCUUGGAGGAAGCGAAUCCCUCGGACGGAUAUCAGAGGUAGUGCCCGAGAUACCGGAGCGCGACGAAUAGUGUGAACCAGAAAGAGUCGAAUAUGAGAAGGACGACGACAGCGCAGCGAGAUUGGGAAAUAGAUAUGUAUCGCCGAGAAAAAGAAUUAGCGAAGCGCGAAUUGAAAACUGCACGGAGAGAGUUGGAGAUGGGAGUCGGGGAGAUGCAACGUUGAGUGCAAUGGAGCGAGCUCAAGAGAGACGAGAAAAUUUUGCAUGCGAUAUAUCAAGAACUAGUAUUGAUGCAAUUGCCGAUUUGCUUGCUUGCUUGCUUGCUUCGAUGGCAAUAUCGACGACUAUGAAAAUUGGGAGAAGCAGCUUAGAUUGUUGAGAGUGACAUAUCGACUAUCAGAUGAGCACGUAAAGAUUCUGAUCGGCAUGCGGUUAAAGAGAAAAGCAGUAGAAUGGCUACAGUCAAAACCCGAAUGCAUAGAAUUGCCAGUGGACACGUUGCUAAACGAGAUGCGAGACAUGUAUAAUCAUCGUCCUAGCAAGAAGAUAUUAGAGAGGAAGUUUGAAAAACGUGUGUGGAAGAGAGAGAAAACUUUUCAUCAGUACGUCCACGAGAUAAUUUUAGGAAAUCGUGUUUCGAUCAGCGAAGACGAGAUCAUCGAUUAUAUCAUCGACAGAAUUCCAGUGACGAAUUUGAGAGAUCAAGUGUGUAUCGGCAGGUUCACGACAAAGGUUUCGUUGUUGCAAGCUUUCAAGAAAGUAACCUUGUGCGACAAAAUAAUGCCAUGUGAUUCGUGGAUGGUACGAAGAAAGCGGAGCAGGGAAGGCAGAAUGGUAAUGAUCAACGGCAACGUGGAGGCAAUGGAAGGAUGAAGGGCGAAAUGAGAGAUGAGGACAAGAGGCAUUGUUUGAAUUAUGGGUAGCGUAAUCACACGAGUGCGAACUGCCGGACUAGGAGGUCGAUUAUGUAUCACAAAAUGUAGUAAAAAUAACGAAGUUAUCUAUAGCUGCCACAAUGGAAUUAAUAGAGGAAUUACUUCCCUAUAUACCACAGAAAACAAGAAGUACAGCAAUACCUCAACAUUUCCAAAUACUAGUAAUUCAACAUUUCCGAUCAUUUGGUUCCUAUCAAAGAAAGCUGGGACAAGAUUUUUUUUCGUGCAUGUCAAACAUCGAUAUUUGUUUCCAUUUAUAAAACAGUAAACGCACUUAAUAGAAUAAUGGGACAUUGUAUUCAAUUUCCCAUUAAAGAAAAAAACAGCCCCCCAUGGAAGAAAAAAACAGCUGAUCAAAGAAGAAUUUUUUAUAAAUACUGGAUUUCCUGGAAUCAUUGCGGCAAUACAGGGUGCGGCGCCAAAAUCCGGACAAAAUUCAAUUUGAAAUUCUUGCCAUUCUAUACCACUGGUAGAUGUCGCGAUUAGCGUUCAAAUAGCUUGACG
This is a long non-coding RNA of Odontomachus brunneus, 1881 nucleotides long. RefSeq lists it as uncharacterized. NCBI's taxonomy places the organism in Eukaryota, Metazoa, Arthropoda, Insecta, Hymenoptera, Formicidae. The record is from RefSeq and is a predicted model, not a curated record. The transcript is spliced from 4 exons.